This 911-nucleotide long non-coding RNA is filed under the name Rattus norvegicus (Norway rat). RNAcentral's name for it is "long non-coding RNA NONRATT011006". The record is from RNAcentral. Lineage: Eukaryota; Metazoa; Chordata; Mammalia; Rodentia; Muridae.
UCCUUGUCUAUGCUACAGAAAAAGAGGUACAGCAAUUGCUGUAAGGGGUCAGGGCCACCUUCAAAUCACCAAGCGGACAAAGUAAGAAGGCAGUCUCCAAUGUUGGCAUCCUUCUUGCUAUCCACAGGCCCUGGUCCCCAGUUCCUUGCUCUGUCAGCAUGCCUUGCACAGAACUGAGAACUUUGCUUCAAGCUCUUUCAACUGUGUACUCCUUCAGGUCAGGGUCUCUGCUUUUAUUAUUCUCACUCAGCCCCGUGCAGAGUGAGAGAGCUCAGAACCUGGACCUUUCAUCCUGAGUAGCAGAAAGAAAUCGACCAGGUUGCUUUAGGCUCCAGAAGUGCUACACAAUACUAAAGCUUUGGGGGAGGUUUCUUCCCCAGCCUCCCGGGGGCCCCAUCAGGUGGCUAACCUGCUGUGAACUGCUUUGUGCAGCUUGUUCUUGUACUUGUGAUAUUCCAUGACCCUUCACUGCAUAGGAGCCCAGGGAAUUGGGCCUUUUAGAACAUUCUCCAGUCCCUAAGGAAUUAGACCUCAGAGGUUAACAGCAAUGGGAUUCAGGGUCAUGAAUGCAUAUAGAGACCAAGGUAGGAAGCAAAGUAGGGCAAGUUUGUUCUCUGUUUUAGGGUGCUGUCCUUCUGAACCCCAUACACAGCAUCUUGACAGACCUAGGGGACCUGCUUGCCAGAGGCCUUACCCAGGCUCCUUGCUACCAGUUCUCAUAAGACCCUACUCAGUUUCAGCUCCCCCUGGGCUUCCCCUUUCUCCACUGAAUGCAGUCUGCACCUCCCCUCUGUAUUCCAAGCCCCAAGACAUAAUUUCCUGAUGGGGAGAUGCUUGCUGGAUUAUCUACACCUCCCACCCCCUUGCAUGUGAGUGAAAUGUCAAAAUAAAACUGAAAUGGCUACUGUCAA